Molecule: long non-coding RNA, 1235 nt
Filed under: Gadus morhua (Atlantic cod)
Lineage: Eukaryota; Metazoa; Chordata; Actinopteri; Gadiformes; Gadidae
Description: lncRNA (ENSGMOG00000028795.1)
Source: RNAcentral
GUGUUCACCCCACGUUUCAUGUCUCUCUGGUAAAACCAGUCUCCACCAGCCCUCUCUGCCCCCCAGCUGCUCCCCCCCCUCCUCCCCGUUUGAUUGAUGACCACCCGGCUUUCACCGUCCAGCGGUUACUGGACAUACGUCGUCGGGGUAGGGGUUUUCAAUACCUUGCAGAUUGGGAGGGAUAUGGGCCCGAGGAGAGGAACUGGAUUUCGCGGGGACUCAUCCUCGACCCCUCUCUCAUUCGGGAUUUUCAUCUGGCUCACCCUGAGAAGCCUAGGCCGCCAAGAGGCGUCCGUUGAGGGGGAGGUCCUGUCAUGGCCACUGUUGUAGUGCUGUGUAUUCUGCACUGUAAAAAAAAUGAUUUGCAAUUGUUGGACUAAUUAUAGUUUUCAAGUUAGUCAGACUCUAAAAUAAGGUUUUGCUAUGUUUAACUACCGAAACAGAGUCUGGCCAGCAAACUUCCCCCUAUCGUUGCCUCAAAAGCUAUUUUCAGAACACUACAACUAAGAUUUUGGAGUUGCAAAAAGGUAGACGUCUUUUUGUUGGAAACCCCGUAGAUUUCGUUUCAGGGGUGGGGGCGGGGCAGUCUGGGCUGUGCGUGAGUGAGUGGAUGUCAGUUUGGAAGGACGGAAUCUCAUUGUCGACAUUGGUGCCAGAUCUUGGUGAUAACGAGCAUGUUUGGGGGAUUCGUCGAACAUUUGUUUGGCUAAAAAGGGGAGGAUCACAUGCAGUGCAAAUUUUGCAAAUUCUCAAGCUCCAGUCAAGAGGCUCUUCUGAAGCACUGCUGACUUCGUCACAGAACUUCGUCACUGAACACAGGGCGCACUGGCCCUGUGUUCACCCAGACUGUGUGUGUGUAUUUAAAACACUUGGUGCAUUAAAGUCGCACCUCUCAAGAUCACACACAACUGUGAGAAUCCAGGAAAAUUAAACAUUUCAAUGUGAAUUGUGCGAUUUUAAAGAGAUUUGCAGUGAAAAAGGUUUUUGGAACCACCUCGGGCAUCAUAUAAAGCAACGAGAAACUGUACCAUGUCCCAUUCUAAGGUGCAACUUUAAAACAAACACUCGCUCAACCUUCAGUUCUCACAGAAGUCGAAACCAUAAGAAUUGUACGCUUAGGGAUUUUCGAUCAAUAGCAAGAGCUGAUACUGAAGAUGUUGGAAAUGAUGGUGAACAAUCUGAUGGUGAAACUGGGACUGCAUUGCACAAUAGUGUGAGACCAACAGAGGUUGAAG